Meriones unguiculatus (Mongolian gerbil) is the source of this 1399-nucleotide long non-coding RNA. RefSeq lists it as uncharacterized. The record is from RefSeq and is a predicted model, not a curated record. NCBI's taxonomy places the organism in Eukaryota, Metazoa, Chordata, Mammalia, Rodentia, Muridae. The transcript is spliced from 3 exons.
AGAGCUGCCAAACAAAAGGAGAAGAGGGUUAGAGCUGGCUUGUCAAGACUUGUGGCAGAAAUGGCUGCACAUUAGAAAUGCUGGACUCUUUCCCCAGGGAUCAUGGGGUUAAGCCAGAAAAAGUAAAAAGUAACACUGAGAGAGAAUGAGGACGUACCACAGAAGGACAACUUGGUGCUGGUGCAUGGAGAGGGCUGACUAACUGGAGGCCCUACAGAUCCAACCAUAGGUGAGCUUGCUCUUUGCACUGAGACACAUGACCACUGACCACAGAAACGGCAGACCUCUGGAUGGGCAGCUCUGAGCCCAGGGCUCAGCAUAUGUAGCUGAAUGAGACUUGAAGCUCAGUGCUGUAAGGCCUCCUAGAACAUCUUCCUGGAACUAAGCAGUGAUACCUACAUCAGCUGGAGACAUUCCAGAAGGGUUUACAAGUUGGGAAACAAGGCAUGAUGGGGCAUCCCUUCAAUCCCAGCAACUAGGGAGACAGAAGCAGAUGAAUCUGAGUUGGAGGCCAGAACUCAGGCUGGUCUGUAAAGAGUAAACGUAUCUCAACAUCCUCUCCCCCCAGAUCACUGGAAGACAAAUUUGGCAAAGUUGUACAAACACAAAUAGAAAAGUGAGUCUAUCACCAAGAGCAUAUUCUACCUUUGGGGGAGCAGAGCCAAGCAUCCAGGACUGCUGAGGAAUGAGAUAUGACUCAGGAAGAGUCUCUAAGGACACUGAGCACUGCCAAGAGGAGUGCUGCCAGCAGCCAUCCUACCGUGAAGUGGUCGUGCCCAGCAUGCCACUGGACACCAAGCAACCAAACUACAAAGUCCGGAGGUGUUACCGUUGCCUCCCUCCUCCUACAUUUUUUCUCUUUAGCUGCCUGUGCAUCCAGAUAUAAAACCCUCAGCUCCCUCUCCAGCAUCAUGUCUGUCUGCAUGUGAAACUGCCUGCCCCCAUGUUUCCUACCUUAACGAUGAUGGACUGUAAACCAGACCCAAUUAAAUGUUUUCCUUUAUAAGAGUCGCCAUGGACAUGGUAUCUGUUCACAGCAACAGAAACCCUAACACAACCCUGGAGCUAGAGUUACAGAAAGUUGUAAGCUGUCCUGUAUGGGGGCUGAGAAUAAAACCCUGAUCCCCUGCAAAAACAGAAAGUGCUCUUCCCAGCUUCUUUAUUUUGGUUUUGAGAGCUGACUGGGAAUUCACUAUGAAGCUCAGGAUGGCAUCAAACUUGUGAUCCUCCUGCCUUUGCUGGGAUGGUGGGUGCCCACCACCUGCUGGCUACUGUGCAUUUAUGUAAGAAGGGACUUGAUUAGGUAAUGGUACUGGAUCCACUCUCUCACAGACAUGGGUGAAUGGCUGUCAUUUACUUACUAUUUGUUUAGAGAUGGUUUAUUUUUAUGUGGCCCAGA